GCACAAGCGGCGGAGCAUGUGGCUUAAUUCGACGCAACGCGAAGAACCUUACCAAGGCUUGACAUACACCGGAAAGCAUCAGAGAUGGUGCCCCCCUUGUGGUCGGUGUACAGGUGGUGCAUGGCUGUCGUCAGCUCGUGUCGUGAGAUGUUGGGUUAAGUCCCGCAACGAGCGCAACCCUUGUCCCGUGUUGCCAGCAGGCCCUUGUGGUGCUGGGGACUCACGGGAGA
This 230-nucleotide ribosomal RNA is filed under the name uncultured Streptomyces sp. Its description in RNAcentral is "partial 16S ribosomal RNA". It matches the Rfam family "Bacterial small subunit ribosomal RNA", at positions 923 to 1148 of the family's 1533-position model. Lineage: Bacteria; Bacillati; Actinomycetota; Actinomycetes; Kitasatosporales; Streptomycetaceae. The record is from RNAcentral.